UGAGGAAUAUUGGACAAUGGGCGCAAGCCUGAUCCAGCCAUGCCGCGUGCAGGAUGAAGGCCUUCGGGUUGUAAACUGCUUUUGUACGGAGCGAAAAGGUCUGCCCUAAUACGGUGGGCUCAUGACGGUACCGUAAGAAUAAGCACCGGCUAACUACGUGCCAGCAGCCGCGGUAAUACGUAGGGUGCGAGCGUUAAUCGGAAUUACUGGGCGUAAAGCGUGCGCAGGCGGUUAUAUAAGACAGAUGUGAAAUCCCCGGGCUCAACCUGGGACCUGCAUUUGUGACUGUAUAGCUAGAGUACGGUGGAGGGGGAUGGAAUUCCGCGUGUAGCAGUGAAAUGCGUAGAUAUGCGGAGGAACACCGAUGGCGAAGGCAAUCCCCUGGACCUGUACUGACGCUCAUGCACUAAAGCGUGGGGAGCAAACA
Molecule: ribosomal RNA, 427 nt
Filed under: uncultured bacterium
Lineage: Bacteria
Description: bacterial SSU rRNA
Rfam family: Bacterial small subunit ribosomal RNA
Source: RNAcentral